GAAUGUGAUCGAUGGGCUUAUGUGCCUAUAAUAAUCAUAUACAACUUUCAGCAACGGAUCUCUUGGCUCUCGCAUCGAUGAAGAACGCAGCGAAAUGCGAUAAGUAAUGUGAAUUGCAGAAUUCAGUGAAUCAUCGAAUCUUUGAACGCACCUUGCGCUCCUUGGUAUUCCGAGGAGCAUGCCUGUUUGAGUGUCAUUAAAUUCUCAACCCCUCCAGCUUUUGCGAGCUGCGAUGGGGCUUGGAUGUUGGGAGUUUGCGGGCCUUUAUUAAUAGAGGUCGGCUCUCCUGAAAUGCAUUAGCGGAACCGUUUGCAGUCCCGUCACUAGUGUGAUAAUUAUCUACACUGUGAUGAUUGCCCUCUGACUAGUUCAGCUGCUAAUCGUCCCCUGUCGGACAAUUUUUAAUGAACUUCUUGACCUCAAAUCAGGUAGGACUACCCGCUGAACUUAAGCAUAUCAAUAAGCGGAGGA
This 471-nucleotide ribosomal RNA is filed under the name uncultured fungus. RNAcentral describes it as "eukaryotic LSU rRNA". The stretch from base 43 to 196 matches the Rfam family "5.8S ribosomal RNA". The record is from RNAcentral. Lineage: Eukaryota; Fungi.